Molecule: ribosomal RNA, 460 nt
Filed under: uncultured bacterium
Lineage: Bacteria
Description: partial 16S ribosomal RNA
Rfam family: Bacterial small subunit ribosomal RNA
Source: RNAcentral
CCUACGGGAGGCAGCAGUGAGGAAUAUUGGUCAAUGGACGAGAGUCUGAACCAGCCAAGUAGCGUGAAGGAUGACUGCCCUAUGGGUUGUAAACUUCUUUUAUAAAGGAAUAAAACGAGGCACGUGUGCCUUUUUGCAUGUACUUUAUGAAUAAGGAUCGGCUAACUCCGUGCCAGCAGCCGCGGUAAUACGGAGGAUCCGCGCGUUAUCCGGAUUUAUUGGGUUUAAAGGGAGCGUAGAUGGGUUGUUACGUCAGUUGUGAAAGUUUGCGGCUCAACCGUAAAAUUGCAAUUGAUACUGGCAGUCGUGAGUACAGUUGAGGUAGGCGGAAUUCGUGGGGUAGCGGUGAAAUGCUUAGAUAUCACGAAGAACCCCGAUUGCGAAGGCAGCUUACUAAACUGUGACUGACAUUGAUGCUCGAAAGUGUGGGUAUCAAACAGGAUUAGAUACCCGGGUAGUC